RNAcentral lists this ribosomal RNA (460 nucleotides) under uncultured bacterium. RNAcentral describes it as "partial 16S ribosomal RNA". It matches the Rfam family "Bacterial small subunit ribosomal RNA", at positions 338 to 795 of the family's 1533-position model. The record is from RNAcentral.
CCUACGGGGGGCUGCAGUGAGGAAUAUUGGUCAAUGGACGAGAGUCUGAACCAGCCAAGUAGCGUGAAGGAUGACUGCCCUAUGGGUUGUAAACUUCUUUUAUAUGGGAAUAAAACGUUCCACGUGUGGGAUUUUGUAUGUACCAUAUGAAUAAGGAUCGGCUAACUCCGUGCCAGCAGCCGCGGUAAUACGGAGGAUCCGAGCGUUAUCCGAAUUUAUUGGGUUUAAAGGGAGCGUAGGUGGAUUGUUAAGUCAGUUGUGAAAGUUUGCGGCUCAACCGUAAAAUUGCAGUUGAAACUGGCAGUCUUGAGUACAGUAGAGGUGGGCGGAAUUCGUGGUGUAGCGGUGAAAUGCUUAGAUAUCACGAAGAACUCCGAUUGCGAAGGCAGUUCACUGGACUGCAACUGACACUGAGGCUCGAAAGUGUGGGUAUCAAACAGGAUUAGAUACCCCAGUAGUC